Molecule: long non-coding RNA, 997 nt
Filed under: Manihot esculenta (cassava)
Lineage: Eukaryota; Viridiplantae; Streptophyta; Magnoliopsida; Malpighiales; Euphorbiaceae
Description: long non-coding RNA (MESC_LNC005819)
Source: RNAcentral
UCCCGAAACGAAACCCUUAUUCACGAACCCAAUUAAAAUCCCUAACCCUAACGAAGUCACAAAUCGCUCGCCCUCUUCCCAUCGAUCUGCUGAAAGAAGUGGGAGUUGCUCACCCUCUUCCCGUCGAUCUGCUGAAAGAAGUGGGAGUUGCUCACCCUCUUCCCGUCGCUCGCCAUCAAUCUCUUUCCCUCCCUCCCUAGUCCAGUAGUCCCUAUUGAUUUGCUGAGUGUCACUGUCACUGCCGACCGUCGACCGUCGACCGUCUGUCCUCUUCAGUGAUCUCUUCUGUUGGCUUAUAAUUUGAGGUAUGGUUUUUAUUUUGUUGCUAAAAAAUUGAAUCUGCUUAUUGAAUUCUUACAUUGUAUUAUACAGCUCUGUUAAGGUAACAUGGCAAAAGCUCAAACCUUCUUCAACUCUUAUAAUUUGAGUAAUGUAAUAAUGAUCAAAUGGGUAGUUUAGCCUGUUCAUUAUCUGAAAGCAAUUUGGAGUUGUCAAAUUACUCUACCUUUCUUUAUAAGUAAUGAGAGCUGGAAAAUGUUAAAUGUUAAAGUAAUGAGAGCUGGAAAAAUUAGAUUCUGAUAAGUGGUUCUUUCUCAACGAUGAUGCAAUUGAUGGAUAUAUUCCAUGAGGUCAGCUUCAUCUCUUUUUCUUUUUCUCCUCGUAUAAUUUGGAGCUUGAAGGAAAUGCAUAUGGUCCUUAAUAUUUGUUUGUUAAAAUCAAAAUAGUAAAAUGAUAUGUAAUAUAUUGAAUCUUGGGUUCUCUCUGAUUAGCAAAUGGGAAGAAAAAAAAUUGCAGAUUAGAAAUAGAAAAUUUAUUGUGUAUUCAGACAAUAUUUAUUGUAUUAUUUUGUUGAAAUUAGAAAUAGAAAAUUUUAAAAAAAUUGCAGAUUUUAGUUUGAAUCGAAUCGAACCGAACCGAACCGAUUUUUAUCGGUUCGGUUCGGUUCGGUUAUAUCAUCAUAAUCGGUUUUUUCGGUUUUUAAAAUUUUAACAUUUCG